UCAGACAGGACGUCAACAUGCCAACAUUAUUUAUUUUAUCUUGGCUCAUUGGUGUUUGUCUGGGCGUUAAAGUCGACCAAAGUCCUCCAGAACUUCUCAGGAGACCUGGAGACAAAGUCCAGCUGAUAUGCACCCACGAAAAGACCGACUACACAUCCAUGCAUUGGUACCAAAAGUCCCCUGGAGAUCGAGCUCUGAAACGCAUCGGACAUGUGUAUUACAGCAACAUAGAACAGGAAGAGGCUUUUAAAAAAGAUUUUACUAUCGCUGGAGAUAUGAGUGGAGAAACAGCAAAGAAUGGAUCUCUGUUCAUAGAUAACCUAAAGGCACCUGAGCACAGUGCAGAGUACUACUGUGCAGCCAGCUAUGCACGCUGACUGCAGAUCCCCGCUCCGUUAUACAAAAACCCUGAACCAGCUUUUAUCAAAAUCUAUGGUUUUGGAUU
This is a non-coding RNA of Plectropomus leopardus (leopard coralgrouper), 445 nucleotides long. NCBI's taxonomy places the organism in Eukaryota, Metazoa, Chordata, Actinopteri, Perciformes, Serranidae. The record is from the annotation of a RefSeq genome assembly.